RNAcentral lists this ribosomal RNA (497 nucleotides) under uncultured bacterium. Its description in RNAcentral is "partial 16S ribosomal RNA". It matches the Rfam family "Bacterial small subunit ribosomal RNA", at positions 28 to 507 of the family's 1533-position model. The record is from RNAcentral.
GAUGAACGCUGGCGGCGUGCCUAAUACAUGCAAGUCGAGCGAACGGACGAGAAGCUUGCUUCUCUGAUGUUAGCGGCGGACGGGUGAGUAACACGUGGAUAACCUACCUAUAAGACUGGGAUAACUUCGGGAAACCGGAGCUAAUACCGGAUAAUAUUUUGAACCGCAUGGUUCAAAAGUGAAAGACGGUCUUGCUGUCACUUAUAGAUGGAUCCGCGCUGCAGUAGCUAGUUGGUAAGGUAACGGCUUACCAAGGCAACGAUGCAUAGCCGACCUGAGAGGGGGAUCGGCCACACGGGAACUGGAACACGGUCAAGACUCCUAAGGGAGGCAGCAGUAGGGAAUGUGCCGCAAUAGGCGAAAGCCUGACGGAGCAACGCCGAGUGAGUGAUGAAGGUCUUCGGAUCGUAAUACUCUGUUAUGAGGGAAGAACAGAUGUGUAAGUAACUGUGCACAUCUUGACGGGACCUUAUCAGAAAGGCACGGCUAACUACGUG